GAUGAACGCUGGCGGCGUGCCUAAUACAUGCAAGUCGAACGGCCGGCUUCGGUCGGUAGUGGCGAACGGGUGAGUAACGCGUGGGUGACCUGCCCCGAAGUGGGGGAUACCAGUCCGAAAGGACUGCUAAUACCGCAUAGGCUGGAGGGGUUUAGAAGACCUUCAGUAAAGGUGCAAAUCGCUUCGGGAGGGGCCUGCGACCCAUCAGCUCGUUGGUAAGGUAACGGCUUACCAAGGCGAUGACGGGUAGGGGACCUGAGAGGGUGGCCCCCACAAUGGAACUGAAACACGGUCCAUACACCUACGGGUGGCAGCAGUAGGGAAUAUUGGUAAUGGGCGCAAGCCUGAACCAGCAACGCCGCGUGUGCGAUGAAGGCCUUCGGGUUGUAAAGCACUUUUGCGUGGGACGAGGAAGGACGGUACCACGCGAAUCAGCCUCGGCUAACUACGUG
Molecule: ribosomal RNA, 452 nt
Filed under: uncultured bacterium
Lineage: Bacteria
Description: bacterial SSU rRNA
Rfam family: Bacterial small subunit ribosomal RNA
Source: RNAcentral